GUCUAUGGACAUAUCAACCUGAAGAUGGCCAAUCUCAUCUGAUCUUGGAAGCUAAACUGGGUUGGCCUAGUUAGUACUUAAAUGGGAGAAAAUUGCAAAACUUUAAUGAGG
Molecule: ribosomal RNA, 111 nt
Filed under: Carlito syrichta (Philippine tarsier)
Lineage: Eukaryota; Metazoa; Chordata; Mammalia; Primates; Tarsiidae
Source: RNAcentral